AAACCCAUUGCCUUAGGGUCCUAGUAUUGCAAAUACUGGUGCGAAUAGUAUUUAUUCUGGGUUUU
RNAcentral lists this transfer RNA (65 nucleotides) under Spirometra erinaceieuropaei. RNAcentral's name for it is "tRNA-Cys". The record is from RNAcentral. Lineage: Eukaryota; Metazoa; Platyhelminthes; Cestoda; Diphyllobothriidea; Diphyllobothriidae. RNAcentral also lists the same sequence under 1 other name.